This 277-nucleotide long non-coding RNA is filed under the name Manacus vitellinus (golden-collared manakin). RNAcentral describes it as "lncRNA (ENSMVIG00005016362.1)". The record is from RNAcentral. Lineage: Eukaryota; Metazoa; Chordata; Aves; Passeriformes; Pipridae.
UUUUUUUUUUUUUGCAGCAACUGCCCUGGAUUGCUUGCCUUUUAUUUGCUUUCUUUUCCAAUUGUUUUUUUCCCAUUUGUUUUGUUGGCGACGAGUGGCCAAGGCUGGAAUUUAAAAGACCCGGGUUGUAGCAGUAACCCUCAGUGAGAUCUUGCACCGAGGACUCACCAUCCCCCAGGAGCUGAAAAGGACGGGACAGGACUGUGCCAAGCUCCAUCCUCUGUGGAUAGACCAUCAACAGGCACACCUUCGUUUGCUGGACACGGCCCGGUUGUGA